This 67-nucleotide transfer RNA is filed under the name Marmota monax (woodchuck). Its description in RNAcentral is "tRNA.Ala". It matches the Rfam family "tRNA". Rfam says of the family: Transfer RNA (tRNA) molecules are approximately 80 nucleotides in length. Their secondary structure includes four short double-helical elements and three loops (D, anti-codon, and T loops). The record is from RNAcentral. Lineage: Eukaryota; Metazoa; Chordata; Mammalia; Rodentia; Sciuridae.
GGUUGUGGCUCAGUUGUAGAGUGCCCGCCUAGCAUGCAGGAGGCACUGGGUUCAAUCCUCAGCACCA